AGAGUUUGAUCAUGGCUCAGGACGAGCGCUGGCGGCGUGCUUAACACAUGCAAGUCGAACGCUGAACCGGUUUCGGCCGGGGAUGAGUGGCGAACGGGUGAGUAACACGUGGGUAAUCUGCCCUGUACUCUGGGAUAAGCCUGGGAAACUGGGUCUAAUACCGGAUACGACCACUACAGGCAUCUGUGGUGGUGGAAAGUUCCGGCGGUAUGGGAUGAACCCGCGGCCUAUCAGCUUGUUGGUGGGGUAAUGGCCUACCAAGGCGACGACGGGUAGCCGGCCUGAGAGGGUGACCGGCCACACUGGGACUGAGACACGGCCCAGACUCCUACGGGAGGCAGCAGUGGGGAAUAUUGCACAAUGGGCGCAAGCCUGAUGCAGCGACGCCGCGUGAGGGAUGACGGCCUUCGGGUUGUAAACCUCUUUCGCCAGGGACGAAGCGCAAGUGACGGUACCUGGAUAAGAAGCACCGGCUAACUACGUGCCAGCCGCCGCGGUAAUAC
This 503-nucleotide ribosomal RNA is filed under the name uncultured bacterium. RNAcentral's name for it is "bacterial SSU rRNA". It matches the Rfam family "Bacterial small subunit ribosomal RNA", at positions 8 to 526 of the family's 1533-position model. The record is from RNAcentral.